UUCAUCUGAAAGUGUUUAGAAACAGAAAUCUGAACUGUUCCUGCAGAUCCAAUCGUUACUGUCAUAGGGAAAGCCAACAACAAAAAAAGAAAAUUAAAGAAAGGUGAUGGUUAAUAACUUUUGCAUAAAUGGGCUUUAGUCUGAAAUUUAAGGAUAGUAUUUUUCUUUCUCUCUCGACAGCAGCGAUUCGCUCUGACAGGAUGCUGGAGCAAAAAAACACUGUUCCUGUUGUCUCGAUAGUUUAUCAUAAAUAAUCCCGUGUAAUUUGACAUCAAGUGAAGAUGUGGGAAAGGCUAUACCACACCAUCACAAGUCAUAAUAAAUGUUUAUUCGUUUAUUUUCUCUCUCUUUUUUUUUUUUUUCUUUUUUCUCGUUGCUUGUUUGGUAAAUAAUAAGGGAGAAAAAUGUUCCAACAUGAGAAGUUCUGUUUUGUAUUCAUUGUAAACAGUUUGUGUUUUCCGUCUUCUUUUUUUUCUUUGUAAACUAUAUCCACAAAUACUCAAUAAAAAUAUUUUGAAUUAAAAAAAGAGCGUUGGAGCAUUUUAGCGCUUAAAGCUGCAGCUUCUGACCACUUGGGGGCGCAUUAACAACUGCGAGCUGUGUCUGUCCUCUGCUACAGUUGCUUUUAAGAGCUUUUUGUCUCCAUCAGGAAGCCAAAGCAGCAAGGUCGUGAAUGCAGAUAAACGCUGAUGUAAGGGCACAUCUUACAUCAAACAUCUUCCAAAGGACUCUGCAGUCUAGCUGAUAACUGCUGCUCAAUGAUCAGACACACUCGUGUAACACUGUUCCUUUCUCAUAUGAGGAGUGACACCCUCCUGGCUGAAGCGCUAAUUCACCCAGUAACUGAGAGAAGUUAUCUAAGAUCCCAGAGAGAAGGGAAUUAAAUUAAUUUUAAGUUAAUUAGAUUUGUUUCGUGUCACUUCUUCACUUUAUUUGUUAUUUCUCUGUCAACUAAGGAGACAACGCAGCGAGCGGUGUUUGCUUGUGGCAACACGGUUCUCUCUCUGUAUUAUUAAUUAAAAUGAUACAUGAUUUCCUCCUGAUAUUUGCACGUAAGGAAACUUGUUAUUUAGGGAUUCUAGGUGGAGCCCAUCUCUACCUAAGCCGGGCGGAGAAACAGCGCAUGUACUCUGUCAUCCAGUGGUCGUCCACCACCAUCAGCUGCAAGCGUCUUAUCUUCUCCAGGUCAGCCGAUCGAGCCCGCCGGCGGUCCAGCCUGGAGCUCCGCUUGUCAGACUCCCUGCGGGUCUGAACGCAGGCAUCAGAAGUGUGACUCUGUGAGGAGAAACCAGAGAGAGGAGUCAUUUCCGAAAGCUACACCGGCGUUUUAUUAUUCAUGUUUGCCACGUGUUCGGUAACACAGUUUCACUUCUCUUCUGUCCUGUGAAUGAGGUCGAGCUGCUCUGCAGGACCCCUGCACUACCAAGGACGGGCCUGAAGAAAAAGGCUGAGGUCAGCAGCGGAUAGUGAGGACAGCAGAGAGGAUCAUUGGAGGCCCUCUCCCGCCCAUCUCCCAACUCUAUGACAAACACAUCAUCCGACGUGUGAAGGACACUUUCCACCCCUCACAUGCACUCUGGAUGGCGAUUGAUGGGGAACAGAGACUCUUCCCAUGAACGGAAACAACACGAACAAUGUCGUGAGGUGCCAUGACGAGAAGGAGUGACUGAGAGGAUCAUCGAUAAGAUGGAAGCUGAGGCCUGGAGAGAGUCUUCAGGAGGAUCGGAGAUCACCUUUAGCACAGAGAGCUGUGCUACUGGGCUUCCAGGAGAUCGUCAUGAGGAGACUCUGCACAGCAGAAUCUUGAAUAGGAUAAAAGAGUUUCGACGUUGACGUUGAGGAAGACUACUAAGGUGUACGACGUGCUCUGCCUUUAAAAUCUUCAGCAGCGUUGGAACAUGAGAAUCUGAGGGAGCGUGCCAAGCUCCAAAAAGUGACAGCGCAGAGGAGGUCCAGCGAUGGACUUGUGGUUCUGUGAACAGCACAAAUGCCAGGUGACUGUGAAAUAACUAACAGCACUUUUUCCACAAGUGAAGCCAGUAACUUACUAUCCUAAAAGAUUAGCUGUAGUUCCUUGUGCUUUACCUCCAUGCGUGUGAUCAGUAUGUGCAGCGGCUUAAGCUGUACAAUGUUUCAGGAUGUAGUUUUUCACCUUUUUGACACUGUUAGUUCCACACGAGGUAGAUGUCUACUACUGCAGGCUAAAAUUACAUUUCUGUCACCUACAAGACGCUUGUCUUUAAUGUUACUGUUACUCUCACAACCACAUAUUACCAUAAAGUGAUGCACAAUUCUGAAUCCGUCAAACCUUUUGCCAACGAAAGAAGAGGGCACUUCUCAUGAGCGUAGAGAAGGAGUGUAAGCCGAGGGAUGACUUAAUAGAUGUGCCACUUGGUGAGGGAAAGGUUUGGUUUGUUGAUGGUUUGAGUUUUUACAACAGCAGAGGGACAGACUAAAACAGGUUUUACUGUAGUAGAUAGUGAGAAAGUUAUCUGUACAGGACAACUAGCAUGUUUCAUAUUUGCUUGAGCAGCAGGGAUAAUAGCUUUAACGGAAGCGUGUUAAGCUGCAGAGAAACAAGAUGUGACAAUAUACACUGAUAGCCAGUAUACAUUUGCUACAGUAUAUUUACAUAGAAAUAUACUGUAGCAGUGGGUGAGACGAGGUGUGACAACCGUAAAAAUUACGCUAAACAAAAUUAUAAAGCAAAAACUGAAAUUUUGCUUUAUAAAAACUGAAAAAACUGAAAUUACCCAUUAUCUUACACUUAUCCUUAUCCAAAAUAAUUCAAAUUAUUAACAAAUAUACACUCUGUGCAAUCUGAGUAAAGUAAGAGACGAUUAGACCUUUAUCUUAUACAGUUACUAUAUACAGAGUAUUGUACAGUUAUUAAAUUAAAUAAAAAUAACUACAAAUAAGAGGCAAACCAAUGUUUGCCUCUGGGCAGUGUUAUUAUCCAGUAGAAUUGCCGUUUGUAAAUGUGUAGCACACAUGUGAGGGAAAGAUCCAGUUGCAUUAGAGGAUGCUUUUGCAGAUAAGAUCGCGAAAGAGGCAACUUUAGGAGAACAUGAUGUUAACAUUUUAGCAAUGCAACACCAGUAGACGUUGUCUAUUAUACCACAUGUAUUAGCAGACAUGCAGGCCCACUCACCUACUGCAGGGAAAACAGGUGUGACUUAAAGAAGGAGCGAGCUUGCAGGAUGGUGUUUAUUAUCUGUGUGAUACACCAAUACUGCCUUUAGAAUUUGUAUAAGACUGCUGCUAUUUUGCGCCAUGGGCUUUGCCAUGUCGCAACAGGAGGGAGAUGAUGAGUAAUUUAUACUUUAAGAUUAAAUACCCUUAAAAAACAAAUUUUGCAAGUUAUGUAUGAUAUGUUGCAAGCACAAUUCUCAGGGUAAUUUGAGACAUAAGAGAGGGAAAUUCCCCAGACCCAGUCACCCAUUACAAAUUAUUCACAUGGACUAUAGAGCUGUCCAACUGUAAUAACUAUGAGUAUUGUUUAGUGAUAAUGGUCCACACUUUGUAAAUGAAGUGAUUAGAUUAAUGGCACAACAUCUAGGGAUAACAUUAAAACAUCAUUGUUCAUAUCACCCACAAAGUGCAGGGUUGAUAGAGAGAACUAAUGGAACAGUAAAGUUAAGACUUAGGGAGACGCAGGACAUGGUUAGACUGUGUAGAAUUAGUUGAGAUGUACAUGAGGAUUAUUCCAACAGAGAACGGUCUGACUCGUUGAGAUUAUAUAUGUUAGAGCAUUUAGAGUUCUAGUCUUCUGUAGUGAUGAUAGAGAAGCAGAAGAGAGAGCAUAUUAGCAGAUUAGAUGCUUAAAAUGUUUAAAAAUAAAGAAGUCUUGAGAACAAAUGAUCUGCCAGAUGAUUCUGUUUCUCCACAGGAGCAGAGUCUGAAGUCUGGAGAUUGGAUUUUGAUAAGGCCAUGGAGAGGAAGUGCUGGUCCAGUCCACGGUGGUCCCUAUCGGGUGAUGCUGACGACGACCAUAGCAGUGAAGAUUGCUGAAAGGAUUACUUGGAUAUGUGACAGGUUGAAGGACUACUGUUGAAGGACUACUGCAUAUAAAACUGUUCAGUUAAUAAUAAUUCAUAUCAGUUGAUAAUGUAAAUAUGGUAAGAAAAUGGUUAAGAGUUUAUUAUUUUUCAUGUUAUAUCAAUGGCUUUCAUGUUAUUUAAGAGAACUGCAAUCUAUACAUCAGUGAUCUAGUAAGCCUUUUCUGGGAUCGAUUAGUAGUGUCUCUAUUCUCCACUAGGGGGCUUUCGCGCGCUCUCCUCACUGCAAUAAACCACUGCAUGAGAGACGCAAGUCAUAAUCACUCUCGUGAUUCUUUUCCCCCUGUUUUCAGGUAAAAGUGUUUAAAAGUUGAUAUAUUUCCAAUGUGUACACUGUUAAGAUAUUUAAGAGAUAAUCCUUCAUUGUUUUGUAAGCUUUAGAAGCAUUAUAUUACGGGUUUUGUGCACAUAUACGUGGCGGUUUUGAGCCUCAGUUUUGUACUGUGUGGUGGCCAUUAAGAUAACGGCAAGAGCUAAAAACGCAGCUAUUGUCAGCCAUUUUGUCAGGAAACCUGCUCAGGUAUCUGUAUAGUAAGCACUUUGGUAUUUUGGUUUAUUGUUUGGUGUUUUCUUCCACCAUGUGACAUUGAGCAGUGCAGAGUGUGAAAUGUUUCUGUUCAUUUUGACUGCAAUAAACCACUGCAUGA
Pelmatolapia mariae (spotted tilapia) is the source of this 4705-nucleotide long non-coding RNA. RefSeq lists it as uncharacterized. The record is from RefSeq and is a predicted model, not a curated record. The transcript has 3 exons. Lineage: Eukaryota; Metazoa; Chordata; Actinopteri; Cichliformes; Cichlidae.